Molecule: ribosomal RNA, 523 nt
Filed under: uncultured bacterium
Lineage: Bacteria
Description: bacterial SSU rRNA
Rfam family: Bacterial small subunit ribosomal RNA
Source: RNAcentral
CCAGAGAACUUUCCAGAGAUGGAUUGGUGCCCUUUCGGGAACUCUGAGACAGGUGCUGCAUGGCUGUCGUCAGCUCGUGUUGUGAAAUGUUGGGUUAAGUCCCGCAACGAGCGCAACCCUUAUCCUUUGUUGCCAGCGGUUAGGCCGGGAACUCAAAGGAGACUGCCAGUGAUAAACUGGAGGAAGGUGGGGAUGACGUCAAGUCAUCAUGGCCCUUACGAGUAGGGCUACACACGUGCUACAAUGGCGCAUACAAAGAGAAGCGACCUCGCGAGAGCAGGCGGACCUCAUAAAGUGCGUCGUAGUCCGGAUUGGAGUCUGCAACUCGACUCCAUGAAGUCGGAAUCGCUAGUAAUCGUGGAUCAGAAUGCCACGGUGAAUACGUUCCCGGGCCUUGUACACACCGCCCGUCACACCAUGGGAGUGGGUUGCAAAAGAAGUAGGUAGCUUAACCUUCGGGAGGGCGCUUACCACUUUGUGAUUCAUGACUGGGGUGAAGUCGUAACAAGGUAGGCGUAGUGCU